GAUGAAGAACGCAGCGAAAUGCGAUAAGUAAUGUGAAUUGCAGAAUUCAGUGAAUCAUCGAAUCUUUGAACGCACAUUGCGCCCGCUAGUAUUCUGGCGGGCAUGCCUGUUCGAGCGUCAUUUCAACCAUCAAGCCCCAGGCUUGUGUUGGGGUCCUGCGGCUGCCGCAGGCCCUGAAAACCAGUGGCGGGCUCGCUAGUCACUCCGAGCGUAGUAAUACAUCUCGCUCAGGGCGUGCUGUGGGUUCCGGCCGUUAAAAAGCCUUAUUUACCCAAGGUUGACCUCGGAUCAGGUAGGAAGACCCGCUGAACUUAAGCAUAUCAAUAAGCGGAGGA
RNAcentral lists this unclassified non-coding RNA (335 nucleotides) under soil metagenome. RNAcentral's name for it is "partial contains 5.8S ribosomal RNA, internal transcribed spacer 2, and large subunit ribosomal RNA". The stretch from base 1 to 120 matches the Rfam family "5.8S ribosomal RNA", at positions 35 to 154 of the family's 154-position model. The record is from RNAcentral.